CAAUAGCGUAUAUUAAAGUUGUUGCAGUUAAAAAGCUCGUAGUUGGAUUUCUGGUAGGAGUGACCGUGCCAGACUUGAUUGUCUGUGUAUUGUGCUGUCUCCAGCCAUCCUUGUGGAGAACUUUUCUUGCAUUAAUUUGUAGGGAUUGGGACCCGCAUCGUUUACUGUGAAAAAAUUAGAGUGUUUAAAGCAGGCAAUCGCUUGAAUACAUUAGCAUGGAAUAAUAAGAUAGGACUUUGGUACUAUUUUGUUGGUUUGCAUACCAAAUUAAUGAUCAACAGGAACAGUUUGAGGAUAUUCGUAUGAACAUGUCAGAGGUGAAAUUCUUGGAUUUUGAUCAGACGAACUACUGCGAAAGCAUUUAUCAAGGAUGUUUUCAUUAA
Molecule: ribosomal RNA, 383 nt
Filed under: uncultured eukaryote
Lineage: Eukaryota
Description: partial 18S ribosomal RNA
Rfam family: Eukaryotic small subunit ribosomal RNA
Source: RNAcentral